GCAUAUCAAUAAGCGGAGUAGGCAUUGCCUCAGUACGGCGAGUGAAGCGGCAAAAGCUCAAAUUUGAAAUCUGGCACCUUCGGUGUCCGAGUUGUAAUUUGAAGAAGGUAACUUUGGAGUUGGCUCUUGUCUAUGUUCCUUGGAACAGGACGUCACAGAGGGUGAAAAUCCCGUGCGAUGAAAUGUCUCAUCAAUGUAAUGUUGUCCACAAGGGUUCUAUGUCGCAGCUUUCCCGAAGGCAGGAACUCUUCAAAUGUCCUGCCCUCCUUCUGCCCCGGGGCGCCCCCUGCCAACCCCUGCAGCCUCCCCGCGGAGCUGGCGUUUCUGCGCAGCCGGACCUCUGCCUGGCCCCCCUCUAGUGCCCUGCAAGGGCCGGGGCUUCUCCCACCCGGCAGGGCCGGGCUCCGGGUCCGAAGAAUGCCCUGCGCGUCCAGGCCCUCCGAGGCCUUCUCUCUGCGUUUGCUCAGGGGCUUCCUCGACAGACCCCUCCCGGCCUCCGGCAGGCUGUAUCGUAAGAAGGCAGCUCCUCACCCAUACAGACGAUUACCGGACCCCUCGCUCCCUUCGAUGAGAGUCUGGGAUGUUCCAAAAAGAAAAAUGGAUCUCCACAGGGAUUGAACUCCGGCGCUAAUCAUCUUUUCCGUUUUCUUG
RNAcentral lists this ribosomal RNA (651 nucleotides) under Schwanniomyces polymorphus. RNAcentral describes it as "partial large subunit ribosomal RNA". Lineage: Eukaryota; Fungi; Ascomycota; Pichiomycetes; Serinales; Debaryomycetaceae. The record is from RNAcentral.